Ruditapes philippinarum (Manila clam) is the source of this 636-nucleotide long non-coding RNA. RefSeq lists it as uncharacterized. Lineage: Eukaryota; Metazoa; Mollusca; Bivalvia; Venerida; Veneridae. The record is from RefSeq and is a predicted model, not a curated record. The transcript has 3 exons.
UAAUUGGGUCAUAGUGCUUGACGGCUUGCAAUAUUUAACUUACUCAUCCGCCUUAUCAUCACAUUUUUUGUAUUAUAUUCCAGAAUUUUUGAAAAAGACAUUAUUUAUCGGAUAAAUUUUGUAGUUUAUAAUUGCAAAGUGGAUAUUGAAAUAGAAUUAGCCAGAGAUGUAGAUAAUCUAUUCGUCUCUGAAUUAGCCGAUAAUUAGGUUAAAUGAAUCCGACAACUUCCGGUAUAUUUUUCGACCUACUUCACGAGCAUAAUUAUCAGCCUGUUAAGCUCAUAAGGGAAAUAAAAGAUUAUUUACUUUAAUAUUCACUUGGAAAGGCUGGUACAUGUAGCUAGAAAAAAGUACAGUAUAGAAUUAAAGAAAGACUAGAAGAUUAUUACAAACAACAGGUGGACAUGUGUCACUGUCAAGCGAAUGAAGAUAAGCAUCACACUCGGUGGGAAUCUCCAGUUUCCAGAUGUAGUGAUCAUAACUGUGUAGGCACCAUUAACACUUUGGACUAGUUGGAGUAUUUUAGAGGGCUAGUCUGAAUUGAAUCCCCUGUCAAUAGUAAAGGCCAGUCAUGAACAUUGUGUUGAAGGAAAAUGUUAAAACUCGGAUUUUCCGCUUAACCAAUCAUUACUUUAC